GCCUGGCUGGUGCAGUCGGUAGAGCAUGUGACUCUCGAUCUCGGGGUCGUGAGUUCAAGCCCCAUGUUGGGCG
This 73-nucleotide transfer RNA is filed under the name Ailuropoda melanoleuca (giant panda). It matches the Rfam family "tRNA". From Rfam's summary of the family: Transfer RNA (tRNA) molecules are approximately 80 nucleotides in length. Lineage: Eukaryota; Metazoa; Chordata; Mammalia; Carnivora; Ursidae. The record is from Rfam by way of RNAcentral.